AGGGCACCACCAGGAGUGGAGCCUGCGGCUUAAUUUGACUCAACACGGGAAAACUUACCCGGCCCGGACACUGGAAGGAUUGACAGAUUGAGAGCUCUUUCUUGAUUCAGUGGGUGGUGGUGCAUGGCCGUUCUUAGUUGGUGGAGCGAUUUGUCUGGUUAAUUCCGAUAACGAACGAGACUCUAGCCUACUAAAUAGGCUCUCGGCUUUUAAACGCCGGGAGGACUUCUUAGAGGGACAGGUGGCGGUUCAGCCGCACGAAAGAGAGCAAUAACAGGUCUGUGAUGCCCUUUGUUGUCCGGGGCCGCACGCGCGCUACACUGAAGAGAUCAGCGUGCUUUACGUUCCUGCUCCGACCGGAGUGGGGAACCCAGUGAACCUUCUUCGUGAUUGGGAUAGAAGAUUGUAAUUAUUCUUCUUGAACGAGGAAUUCCCAGUAAAUGCGAGUCAUAAGCUCGCGUUGAUUACGUCCCUGCCCUUUGUACACACCGCCCGUCGCUACUACCGAUUGAAUGUUUU
RNAcentral lists this ribosomal RNA (519 nucleotides) under uncultured eukaryote. RNAcentral's name for it is "SSU rRNA". It matches the Rfam family "Eukaryotic small subunit ribosomal RNA", at positions 1161 to 1699 of the family's 1831-position model. The record is from RNAcentral.